GACGAACGCUGGCGGCGUGCUUAACACAUGCAAGUCGAGCGGAAAGGCCCUUCGUGGUACUCGAGCGGCGAACGGGUGAGUCACACGUGAGUAACCUGCCCCCGACUUUGGGAUAACCCUCGGAAACGGGGGCUAAUACCGGAUACGACACAGCUUCUCAUGGGUUCUGUGUGGAAAGUUUUUCGGUUUGGGUUGGGGUCGCGGCCUAUCAGCUUGUUUGUGGGGUUUUGGCCUACCAAGGCGACGACGGGUAGCCGGCCUGAGAGGGGGACCGGCCACACUGGGACUGAGACACGGCCCAGACUCCUACGGGAGGCAGCAGUGGGGAAUAUUGCACAAUGGGCGGAAGCAUGAUGCAGCGACGCCGCGUGAGGGAUGACGGCCUUCGGGUUGUAAACCUCUUUCAGCAGGGACGAAGCGUAAGUGACGGUACCUGAAGAAGAAGCGCCGGCCAACUACGUG
This 462-nucleotide ribosomal RNA is filed under the name uncultured bacterium. RNAcentral describes it as "partial 16S ribosomal RNA". It matches the Rfam family "Bacterial small subunit ribosomal RNA", at positions 28 to 507 of the family's 1533-position model. The record is from RNAcentral.